RNAcentral lists this ribosomal RNA (405 nucleotides) under uncultured prokaryote. RNAcentral describes it as "bacterial SSU rRNA". It matches the Rfam family "Bacterial small subunit ribosomal RNA", at positions 355 to 776 of the family's 1533-position model. RNAcentral also lists the same sequence under 1 other name. The record is from RNAcentral.
UGAGGAAUAUUGCGCAAUGGGGGAAACCCUGACGCAGCAACGCCGCGUGUGCGAUGAAGGCCUUCGGGUUGUAAAGCACUUUUUGGAAGGAAUAGGAAGGAAGGUACUUCCAGAAUAAGUCUCGGCUAACUACGUGCCAGCAGCCGCGGUAACACGUAGGAGGCAAACGUUAUCCGGAUUUACUGGGCGUAAAGCGCGUGUAGGUGGUUCUGUAAGUAGGGCGUGAAAGCUCCCGGCUCAACUGGGAGAGGCCGUUCUAAACUGCAGAGCUAGAGGAUGGUAGAGGGAGGUGGAAUUCCAGGUGUAGCGGUGGAAUGCGCAGAUAUCUGGAGGAACACCAGUGGCGAAAGCGGCCUCCUGGACCAUUCCUGACACUCAGACGCGAAAGCUAGGGUAGCAAACGGG